This 203-nucleotide ribosomal RNA is filed under the name Staphylococcus aureus. RNAcentral describes it as "partial 23S ribosomal RNA". It matches the Rfam family "Bacterial large subunit ribosomal RNA", at positions 2341 to 2543 of the family's 2925-position model. The record is from RNAcentral. Lineage: Bacteria; Bacillati; Bacillota; Bacilli; Caryophanales; Staphylococcaceae.
UUCAUAGAGUGUAAAGGCAUAAGGGAGCUUGACUGCGAGACCUACAAGUCGAGCAGGGUCGAAAGACGGACUUAGUGAUCCGGUGGUUCCGCAUGGAAGGGCCAUCGCUCAACGGAUAAAAGCUACCCCGGGGAUAACAGGCUUAUCUCCCCCAAGAGUUCACAUCGACGGGGAGGUUUGGCACCUCGAUGUCGGCUCAUCGC